This is a long non-coding RNA of Prunus avium (sweet cherry), 408 nucleotides long. RefSeq lists it as uncharacterized. The record is from RefSeq and is a predicted model, not a curated record. Lineage: Eukaryota; Viridiplantae; Streptophyta; Magnoliopsida; Rosales; Rosaceae.
CUACCUACCCCUCUUCAUUUCGCGUCUCCAGCGCUUCAGCUUCUCUCUCAACCUCAUCUGCUCUUCUUCUUGCAAUCUCUGUGUCAAAUGUUCUCUUCCCUUCUCAAAACCUCUCUCAAGAUGGUGGGUUAUCUUUGGUUGUGAUUGAAAGGGCAAGGGAGGUGGCUGUGGAGUCUGCCUCAAGAGAGUGCAAAACAGAAAUCAAUGGCAAACCUUUUGUGGAAGAAGAUGGAGGGCUAGGGCUGCCAACCAAUGAAUGAAAUCGAGCACAAGCCUUGGAAUCUAUAUCACUUUUUCAUCAUAACCCAUUUUCUCAUUUUCAAUUUUUGAUUUUUGUGUAUGCAUAAUCUAUUAAUGUUGUUCUGAACCUUGGAUCUAACCGAUAAUCCAUUAAUGUUGGUUGAUUGA